CCUACGGGAGGCAGCAGUGAGGAAUAUUGGUCAAUGGGCGCGAGCCUGAACCAGCCAAGUAGCGUGAAGGAUGACUGCCCUACGGGUUGUAAACUUCUUUUAUAAAGGAAUAAAGUGAGGCACGUGUGCCUUUUUGUAUGUACUUUAUGAAUAAGGAUCGGCUAACUCCGUGCCAGCAGCCGCGGUAAUACGGAGGAUCCGAGCGUUAUCCGGAUUUAUUGGGUUUAAAGGGAGCGUAGGUGGGUUGUUAAGUCAGUUGUGAAAGCUCGGGGCUCAACCCUGACAUUGCAGUUGAUACUGGCAGCCUUGAGUGCAGUUGAGGUAGGCGGAAUUCGUGGUGUAGCGGUGAAAUGCUUAGAUAUCGCGAAGAACUCCGAUUGCGAAGGCAGCCUACUAAACUGCAACUGACAUUGAUGCUCGAAAGUGUGGGUAUCAAACAGGAUUAGAUACCCUUGUAGUC
Molecule: ribosomal RNA, 460 nt
Filed under: uncultured bacterium
Lineage: Bacteria
Description: partial 16S ribosomal RNA
Rfam family: Bacterial small subunit ribosomal RNA
Source: RNAcentral